Molecule: long non-coding RNA, 1033 nt
Filed under: Struthio camelus australis
Lineage: Eukaryota; Metazoa; Chordata; Aves; Struthioniformes; Struthionidae
Description: lncRNA (ENSSCUG00000018565.1)
Source: RNAcentral
GUCAGGUCAACCUUUUAAACAGUCUGAUGACUUUUUUUCUGGAUUUUCAGUUCCAUGACUGACUGCAAGCAACAGCUACUGCCAAAACAAAGAAAGAAACAAGGAACUCGAAGUGGAAGGGCAGGACCAUUUUAUUCCUUUAAUAUCAAUACAACAACCUGGAACGCUGUCCUGUUUCUGCUUCUGGUGGCCUGGAGUCCAAGCGCGGUGUUGAUCUUCCUAUCUGUUUCUUCAGUGGUUGACAUGUUGUUUUGAAGGAAGAUUUUGAGAAGUAUCAAAGCAGUCCAGGAGCACAAAUUGCCCUGGCACUUAAUGGGACUCAGCUCUCUGAAAUCAUCAGCAUUGUCUGCAGAGUUGCCUACCACAUAUCCCAGCAAAUUAUUCUGAACAUAGGCAGUUUUAAAAACCAACCUCUCCUUCAGAAUUGUUAUAUUCUCCCAGGAGUAUAAGAAAAUAAUGCAACACAGAGAGGGGUGUACUGUUGAAAAUUAAGAAAAGUUGAGAGGUUAGCCUGGUCUCUAAGAUGGAGUAAUAGAGUGAAAGACAGUAGAUGUGGUUUUUCUCUAUACAUAUCUGUCACUGGCUUGCAGUGUGUCCUGACAAGUAUUUUCUUUUGUAUCUAUUUUCCUAUGCAUAUUCUACCUGUCUUGUCUUUUUAGAUUGUGAAUUUUUGUUGGGAAAGGACUCCCUCAGCAAAAGUGUUUAGGGGAUUCUGAUUUUGCCUGGAAUGUGCUGAGACUAAUAAUUUUUACAAUAUAAAACCACUCUCUAUGUGUUCCAAGAGUCAUUAGAGGAUGUUUUUUUCUCAUCAGUAUUUGUCUGUUAACUGUUAUAACUGUAUGUAUAUAUUAAAACACUAAAAUGAUGUUCCAGGUAAUCCAAGCAUACGGGCUAAACAGUUACUUUUUGCUGUAACAGAAAGGCGAAUUCUCUGGCGGGACUUAAGAGAACGACUCCUUCACUGUUCCUAACCCUGAAAUCAUUCUAAAACAGUAUAAAUAAAUUUAAGACAUUGCUAAAAGCUUUUUAUAGA